AAUCCCUGGUUUGAAUGUAUUCAUUGAAUUUUAAACAUGUGUGGUCUUUCAAAUAUAUGGCAUCAACAAGAGAACAUAAAUGGAAAAUGGAUAACAAAUACUGUCAAACAAAGACUUAAGGAUCAAUUCAUUCAAACAUGGUCGAGCGAUAUGUUCAAUAGGCACGUCUCGAGUUCAUCCGGAACACCCGGGAUUUUUCGCAUUUAGCCACACCGAUCACGUGACAUGAACUAAAUGUUCAGCAGGGGUACUUCCGGUUGAUAUUGUUUACUCUGGUAACAAAAUUGUCUUUAACAAAAUAUGUAUUUUGUGGCACGAAAAGUCGCAAUUCAGAUAAUGGAAAGAAAGGGGUGUAUAUCUACUUUGGAUGAUGUUAAAGUUCACCCUUUCCCAACCCUGGAAAAAAAUGUCCACACAGAGGAAACGAUGGCGUCAUUUGUUUAGAAAACCACGAGUAGCAGAACAGUGCAGAAAAUUAGAGCGAUUACUACAUUCCGUAAAAGCUUAUCCAACACAGAAGCAUCACUGUUCUAGCCAUUUCACCAUAUGAAAGGCGAAGAUAACAAACAGUGAUCCAAGUUUUAAGAAAACCAAGAGGUUGAUAACAAUGACUGUACUCCUUAUGUUGACUGGAAUUAUUGACUGGUAUGCAGUAAAACAGCUGAAGGAAAGUUCAACUAUCAAUUCAUUUCAGCCUGGUAGUCUGGCAGUAUUACAGGUAAUCUGGCAGUAAUGGCAUGACAUCAUGAGAGCUAAUCAACAUGGUUAAUGAUGUAUAGAGACACU
Molecule: long non-coding RNA, 786 nt
Organism: Ostrea edulis (European flat oyster)
Lineage: Eukaryota; Metazoa; Mollusca; Bivalvia; Ostreida; Ostreidae
Exons: 3
Source: RefSeq, a predicted model, not a curated record